This is a small nuclear RNA of Otolemur garnettii (small-eared galago), 121 nucleotides long. The record is from Ensembl. NCBI's taxonomy places the organism in Eukaryota, Metazoa, Chordata, Mammalia, Primates, Galagidae.
GUGUUAUAUAAAGGUAGAGAAGGUUAGUAUUCCCCUCGCCUAGGAUGGAAGAGACUCUCAGGCCUGACAACACAAAUACAGUUGAUACCACUUACCUUGUGGCAUCUAACCAUUGUUUUAU